Molecule: long non-coding RNA, 2185 nt
Organism: Parus major (Great Tit)
Lineage: Eukaryota; Metazoa; Chordata; Aves; Passeriformes; Paridae
Source: Ensembl
AUUAAAGAGACAAAAUAUUGUCUAUUAAUUAUUCAACUAAACUUUGUUGUACAUCUGUUUGGUUCAUUGAAAGGAAGUCUGUGCUUUCAGUGAGAAUUUGGACAAGUAAUGAGAGGUGAUGGAAGGUGAAAAGUGGAAUGAUGGAAGAGAUGUCCCAGAAACAUCCCACAGGAGAAGGUACUUUCACUGUGGAAGUGCUGGCACCCCCUGUCCCAGGAUAUUGUGAGACUCCACAGCAGCGUCAGUAUUUAAGGAUGGUUUCAGGUGCUCCAGAUGACAGUAGAAACAUGACACUUCACCUGGAUGUUACCUCAAGAUUGAGAAAAGUAGAAGAUAAAGAACUCUAUUUGCCCUGGCCUUAUGUUGAUCUCACGCUUUGAAGCAGAGCUGACUGAUGAUUCCUGGAGGAUGUUACCACCUGUGUAAAGGAAUAAUCACUCUCAUUCUUCACAUUCAAUCUCCACCCAUUGUACCAGUCACCCCCAAAAGAAUCAGCAGGUCUUCUGGCAGAUGUAUAAAACCAGAACAAGUCAGAACACUAUCACAUAGUGUGCUAUACAUCACCAGGUGCUCAACAUUAUCAAAGAGAGGACUUUCAACAGGUGUCAGAAGCCACAAUGUCGGGUAAAAGCUUCCAGGGACUGAAGGAACAAGCUGAAGGUGCAGCAAAAGAUGCUGCAAACACAUUGGGACAGGCCACUCAGGAUGCAGUCAACCAGAUUACAGAUGCAAGCCAGAAAGGUAGGAGCAAUGACGUUCAAAUUAAGAUGGAGCAGCUCAACACAAGCCAGAAGUGGCCAGUGCUCAUUCUCCUCUGUUCCACAGGUGUUCUCAGCCUGAAAGUCCUUGGUUUCAGUCACCACUUUAUAUAACCUUUAAUAUUUUAUAACAACUUUAACAUUUUUAUAACAACCUUUAUAAAUCUCACAAAAGGAUUUCAGGAUCUGUUGCUGAGUAGCUCCACACAGCUACUGUACAGGCAGACUGUAGCUGACACUCCCUGGCCAUCGAGUCUCAAGCACAGUGUUCAGACAUUGGCUUCCUAUUUAGAAAACUUGUGGGGACAGCUCUUCUUUCAAGAGCAUUAAGUAACCCUAUGUUACAUCUUGCUCCCCCCACCCUGGCCCUGAGGGCAGGGGUCUGUCCAGGUCCAGUCCUACACUGGAUCCCAGCAGCUGCUGGGGCAGCAGCUGGGGUUGAACAUUACAGAUCCUGCAGGUGAAAAGUUGCUGUCUAGAAAGUGUUGGCAUCUUGCAGCUGGAGGCUGGGACCAAGCUAAACUAAAAACUAGGCUGAUUCUUUUUAUUUUUAAUGAUUUAAUAAUAUUCAAGUAUGAGGGGAGAAUUAGCAAUUUUGGGGUCUAAAAUAUUUCAUGAAAGCUAAAAUGCACUGGCAGUAUCCCCUAAAAGCCGACACCUUUCACAGCUCCAUGGAUGUAACAAGAAGGGCAGGCUUGGGCACCUGUUAAUGUUAGAUGGAGAAGCAGCAAAAUGUCCAAAAUCUUUUUUUUCCAGAUAUAUCACUCUUUUUUUGUAGUCUAGUCAUUUUAACACCUUUCUUCUAUCAUAAGUACUAAACCAUGUUGCAUUUUUCCAACUUUCUGUUUAUCUUUUUCCCUCUCUUGCAGCUUUUGACAAGGCUUCCAAGACAGCACAAGAUGGAGUAGAAAAGGUGGCUGGACAGGCUGCAGAAGCAAUGUCUGGCUUCGGGAAAAAAUGUGGAUUUAAAAAAUGAUGCUAAUUCAAGUCAACUGUACUGAUUGUAUAAAUCUCUUUGGUCUGCUAUUAGCUACUUCUUUGUGUAGAAAAAUGAAAGCUGUUUGAUAUCUGGAUAAUUUUGUUCUCUUCAAAUACAAAUUUUUAAGGCAGAAGGUCCCCCUCAUCCUUUGCAUAGAAAAAUUACAUCUUUUAGCACCAUUGCUCACAAUUGUCAACGUGGCUCAAAAGGUUUCAGCAAUGCUGUUCCCCUGCUCUUACAACAGCUCAGUGAUUAUUGCCACAUUUGCUGAGUGUAUUUACAAAGCCAGUGAAACUGUUCAUAAUUAGGACACUAGAAUAGUCAUGUGAUGAAACUGAGUCUUCUUCCAAUAAUCAAAACUUAAGCUGGGGUUAUAUGUCUUGUCAGUUGUUUGUUCCCAUCCUCUGCAUUUUUAGAUAAAGAUAAAUAAAGGUUUGUAAGAUUUCCA